ACUCAUCCCCUUUGCGGUGACUUGUUAGUCCGCAAUUUAGAAUCUCGACGCUUGUGAGCCUGCAACCAAGAGAUGAGAAACAUGAAGAUUUUUCUCUUCGCCCUGGCACUACUCAUGCUAUCUUCAGAUAUGGCAACCUCCCUCCAGUGCAGACAUGUCCUUAAAAGUGGCCCAUGUCAAAUCGAUGAUUGUAGAGCUUACUGCAAUAAGAUACCUAGAGUGCCCUCACCCAAAAAUCCCGACGUGUGUGUUCCCGAGGGAUGCAAGUGUGUAGUAUGUGGAGGGGUGCAAGCAGGGAUGUAGUGUUCCCUCUAAGGUUGCUGAACUAAUGGUAAUGGUCUCACAUACCAUGUGGCCUUGUAUAUUUAUCAAGGUCAAUAUUGAUAGAGAAUAAUAAAAAUGUCAUCAUCUUGCA
Aegilops tauschii subsp. strangulata is the source of this 415-nucleotide long non-coding RNA. RefSeq lists it as uncharacterized. The record is from RefSeq and is a predicted model, not a curated record. NCBI's taxonomy places the organism in Eukaryota, Viridiplantae, Streptophyta, Magnoliopsida, Poales, Poaceae.